Tachysurus fulvidraco (yellow catfish) is the source of this 1397-nucleotide long non-coding RNA. RefSeq lists it as uncharacterized. Lineage: Eukaryota; Metazoa; Chordata; Actinopteri; Siluriformes; Bagridae. The transcript is spliced from 2 exons. The record is from RefSeq and is a predicted model, not a curated record.
UACAAAGAACUCUGCACUCGAACAGGUCGAACGAGUUUCCUGGUCUAUCCACAUCAUGUGUUCAUUUCAUAAUCAAAUGCAGGUGGUUUCCAUGGACUUGCUGUAAGGGAAGUGACUGUGCUUAUCUCUUUAUUUUGAUGAACAAGCCUGCUCUACAUGUAAGCUUUAAUCUUCUGUGGAACACAAGAGUCAAGGUUUUAUCCAGAACUAAAGCAGUGAUCAUGACUGAGGAGGCGGCAGAAGAAGAUAGUGAUGACGAUGACUGGGAGGAUGAUUUUUUUUUGGAAGUUUGCUGCCAAGGGUGAACUACAGGAGCUGAACCAAUAGACCAUUAGAGUUGCUUGUUGAGCUACAGUAUGCUCCUUGGGCAAGCAUGGUAUGGCGUCACUUGUACGCACAGCUUCCUUGACGUGUGUCAAACUAGUACGCAGUAUUCCAGUGUGUUACUAGACCACGAAAGGACACGGUUUACUAUGUGUCAAUGUUGGCACAAAGUAUAAUGUAAAAAGAUGGGCUUGUAUAUUCUCCAUUGAUGAAGGAAUCGUCAGGGCUGGGACACAAGAAGAAGAAAAAGAAGAAGAAAAGAGAUCAACUCUGUAUGGGGAAAAGAUUUGAAUAAUAUUCAGAAAAUGAAAAAAGUAAAAAAAAAAAAAGUUAAUACCUUAUCCUUUCAAUGACAAAAUGAACAGCAUCAGAUCUCAUCAAAAUAAGCCAUGAAUACUCACGAAAAAAUACAUGAAAACUUAAAUAGAGUUCAAAUGUCUGGCUAACAAACUAAAGAACAGAGCAACCUGUACACAUAAGUGGGAAAUGUAAGUUCUAAUAAGAAGAAACCCUGUUUUGGGAAACACUGACCUCUAGUGGCAAGUCCAGAAUCCUUUCAGGAAUGGAUUUGAUACUGAUGCUAGUUUCUCAAACAGAAAAAAAGUGUGAGAAGUGAGUAAACUUCUUUGCAAAAUCAGUAACUUUUUCUUUAAUAUGACGAAUUCAGGGGGAAAAAAAAACAUCAGGAAAAUAGACAAGCCUAAUGCAUAUAAUGCAGCCUUUAUGUCAAAGGCUGCUGAUGCGUCAUGAUUACAUGUACGUUCAUUGUGUGAAUGGUUAGUGACUGGCCAAUAAUGAGCCGGCACUUUUACAUGUACAUCUUUGUUUCAGUGUAAGCAGGAUUUGUUUCACUGAGAUUUGUUUAGUGUGUUUCACACUUAUAUUUAGUACAAAUUACUUUAUUUCUUAUGCUAAUAAGAAAUUACUAAUAAUUUGUAUAUUUUAAUAUGGAGAUUGUUGGGCUCUAUAUGGCAGCCUGGGAAGACUUUUCAAAGGUCAAUUCACUCUAUACACAAACACACACACACACACACACACACACACACACACACACACACACACACACACACACA